This 1330-nucleotide ribosomal RNA is filed under the name uncultured bacterium. Its description in RNAcentral is "bacterial SSU rRNA". It matches the Rfam family "Bacterial small subunit ribosomal RNA", at positions 28 to 1381 of the family's 1533-position model. The record is from RNAcentral.
GACGAACGCUGGCGGCGUGCUUAACACAUGCAAGUCGAACGGACCCUUUGGGGUUAGUGGCGAACGGGUGAGUAACACGUGGGUGAUCUGCCCUGCACUUUGGGAUAAGCCUGGGAAACUGGGUCUAAUACCGGAUAGGACUACGCACUGCAUGGUGUGUGGUGGAAAGCUUUUGCGGUGUGGGAUGGGCCCGCGGCCUAUCAGCUUGUUGGUGGGGUGAUGGCCUACCAAGGCGACGACGGGUAGCCGGCCUGAGAGGGUGACCGGCCACACUGGGACUGAGAUACGGCCCAGACUCCUACGGGAGGCAGCAGUGGGGAAUAUUGCACAAUGGGCGCAAGCCUGAUGCGGCGACGCCGCGUGAGGGAUGACGGCCUUCGGGUUGUAAACCUCUUUCGCCAGGGACGAAGCGCAAGUGACGGUACCUGGAGAAGAAGGACCGGCCAACUACGUGCCAGCAGCCGCGGUAAUACGUAGGAUCCGAGCGUUGUCCGGAAUUACUGGGCGUAAAGAGCUCGUAGGUGGUUUGUCGCGUUGUUCGUGAAAACUCACAGCUUAACUGUGGGCGUGCGGGCGAUACGGGCAGACUGGAGUACUGCAGGGGAGACUGGAAUUCCUGGUGUAGCGGUGGAAUGCGCAGAUAUCAGGAGGAACAUCGGUGGCGAAGGCGGGUCUCUGGGCAGUAACUGACGCUGAGGAGCGAAAGCGUGGGGAGCGAACAGGAUUAGAUACCCUGGUAGUCCACGCCGUAAACGGUGGGUACUAGGUGUGGGUUUCCUUCCUUGGGAUCCGUGCCGUAGCUAACGCAUUAAGUACCCCGCCUGGGGAGUACGGCCGCAAGGCUAAAACUCAAAGGAAUUGACGGGGGCCCGCACAAGCGGCGGAGCAUGUGGAUUAAUUCGAUGCAACGCGAAGAACCUUACCUGGGUUUGACAUGCACAGGACGCCGGCAGAGAUGUCGGUUCCCUUGUGGCCUGUGUGCAGGUGGUGCAUGGCUGUCGUCAGCUCGUGUCGUGAGAUGUUGGGUUAAGUCCCGCAACGAGCGCAACCCUUGUCUCAUGUUGCCAGCACGUUAUGGUGGGGACUCGUGAGAGACUGCCGGGGUCAACUCGGAGGAAGGUGGGGAUGACGUCAAGUCAUCAUGCCCCUUAUGUCCAGGGCUUCACACAUGCUACAAUGGCCGGUACAAAGGGCUGCGAUGCCGUGAGGUGGAGCGAAUCCUUUCAAAGCCGGUCUCAGUUCGGAUCGGGGUCUGCAACUCGACCCCGUGAAGUCGGAGUCGCUAGUAAUCGCAGAUCAGCAACGCUGCGGUGAAUACGUUCCCGGGCCU